AGAAGGAAAUUGCUUUCACAGCAAUAUUCAAUUUCCAUUCGCUUCAUUGGCCUCUCACGCUGCUAAUCGAUCAACCAAACGGAACAUUCGCGACUCGUUCCUUUCAUUUUCAUGCGUGCUUCCACUUUUGAAGACUUUGAUAUAGGGCUCUUUACCUGUAUUAUACAAAAGAAAAUUUUGUUAAGCGAAGACAGAUUUUUCAACCGCUCGGAAGAGAAUUAAAAAAAGAGAUAAAGAAAUUGGAGUCGGAAUGAAACAAAAAUGCCAUCCUCUUCCAGAAGGGAGGUUAGGGAGGAGCGACUGUACUGGAAAAAUCUCACAUGGUGAAUUUCUGGGAAACAAACACGUUUUGUAUCGGAAGUUUCUCUGCAAUUCCUUCGUCUACUUCUUCUCAUUGACUUUUGACUUUGCAAUUUAUAAUUGUCUCAUGACUACGAGUGUCCAUUGCUUUCAUCUUUUAAGCUCUUAACAACCUUUCUGUUGUGUCUCAUCUCUCAUUGCAGUUAUACUUCUUGUUGUUCCACAAAGUGUGGAGCAGUAUUACAGCUUUCUCACUGGAGAUCAUUUGAAGUACUGCUCCAAAAACUUGGGUUCCAUCCUCUCAAACUGCUGGAUAUAGAAGGUUGGUUUUGCUUUUUAGACUUCAACUGCUGGAUAUAAAAGAAAGAGAAUGUCAUUCAACAAGUCUCCUCUUUCAAGGCUUAAAAGGAGUCUCUCCCUUCAAUCAUGCUUCCCUGAAGUGAGGUCUGCAGAGGCAUCUGGUUGCAAAUCUCCUGAUGACAAUGCCUCAAGCGUAAAUGGUGGACGUUCUUUUGAUGACAUACGUCAUAAUGUUGAUACCUGCUUGGACAUAGAUGAUCAGGGCAUUUCCCCAGCUUCCAGUGGUGGCAAAACCUCUACUGCAUCAAGGCGUAUAUUCCCUCUAGAAAGCAGGAGUCCGUGCAGAUCAGUUUCUGAUAUCCAGAACUCUAAGUCUGAACUGCUUCAAGCUGUUCCAGAGGCAAUUGGAAGUGAUGCCCAUGUGGCUUUGGAUCUGUCCUCUUGGCCAGGUGGUUCCACCCACCCCAAGAAUGAAACCAGCAAAUCUGAUGCAAGCCCAGUUAGACAAGCUGUGGAUCAUAGUUUUCCAUUGGCUUCAGUGCAUUAUUCAGGUGCAAUUUCUGGGGAGAUAAGAAGCAAUGGCCUUAAAGCAUAUGUUCUCCUGUGUCUUGCUGCACUCAAUGGUGAUUGGAAAAGUGCAAAAGCAUUCCUGGAGUCAAAUCCACAAGCAGUGAGAGCGAGGAUCACAAGGCGUUCAGAAACUGCUCUUCAUAUUGCUGCCGGGGCAAGACAUACAAGGUUUGUUGAGGAGCUAGUUAAAUUAAUGAAACCAGAUGACUUGGCAUUGCAGAACAAGGUUGGAAACACUGCUCUUUGCUUUGCUGCUGCAUCUGGAAUCACAAGGAUUGCUGAGGUAAUGGUGAAUAAGAACAGGGAGUUACCAAUGAUUCGCGGUAGUAAAGGAGUAACACCACUCUACAUGGCUGCAUUAGUAGGUCACAAAGACAUGGUAAGAUAUCUCUACUCUGUGACUGAGGAAGAUAAUUUAACCAAAGAAGAUCGCAUUGGACUUCUUGUUGCUGCUAUUACUGCCAAUCUAUUUGAUGUAGCCUUGCAUAUGCUUCAUGAGGACCCAGAAUUAGCUAUGGCUCGAGAUGGUAAUGGAGACACUGCACUUCAUGUUUUGGCUAGAAAGCCUUUGGCAUUUUACAGUGGAAGUCAGCUAGGAAUUUGGCAUAGGUGCAUCUAUUCAUGUAUUCAUGUGGAAUUACGAAGAAAAUAUCUCUAUUCUUCCACAAGGAAUGAUGAACUAGGCCAUUCAAUCUUACAUGUGGUUCCCACCAUGAAAGUACUAUUUUUGAACUUCCCCAAAUUUCUAGUUCCAGGUUUCAAGUCAGUUUAUGACAAGAAAUUGAUGCAUAUCCAGGCACUUGAGCUUGUCCAGCAACUUUGGGACAAAAUUCUGUCCCUGGAUCAUGACCCAAAGAUUGGGGAGUUAAUCAGAACUCCUUCACGGUUACUAUUUACUGCUGCUGAGUUGGGGAUUGUAGAGUUUAUAACUGUCCUCAUCCGAUCAUAUCCUGAUCUUAUUUGGAAAGUCAAUGACCAAAGUCAAACUAUAUUUCAUGUUGCAGUGGCACAUCGCCAGGAAAAAAUUUUUAAUCUCAUAUAUGAGAUUGGUGCUCAUAAGGAUUAUAUUGCAGCAUAUAAAGACGAGAAGAACAAUAACAUGUUGCAUUUGGCAGGAAAGUUAGCACCAUCGAAUCGACUGAAAAUUGAUUCUGGUGCAGCCUUUCAAUUGCAAAGGGAAUUGCAUUGGUUCAAGGAGGUAGAAAAGAUUAUUCAACCUUCAUACACAGAAAUGAAAAAUGAACAGGGGAGAACACCUCAGAUUCUGUUUACAGAGGAGCACAAGGAUUUAGUGCGAGAAGGUGAGAAGUGGAUGAAGGAUACUGCAUCUUCAUGCAUGGUUGUUGCAACACUCAUUGCCACUGUGAUGUUUGCUGCUGCCUUCUCUGUACCUGGUGGCAACGAUGAUGACACAGGUGAUUGUUGAGGUACCCUGCAAGGUUCGAAGUCAAAUGGGACUGGGACAGUGUAAAAAGUGCUACUGCAAGCCUACUUUUGACCAGGCCAAAUAUUGAAGAAAAGGUCAAUAUGCUAAUUUCAAGCAAGCUCAAAGAAAAUCAUGUAUCAACCAAUUCAAAAGAGACUGAUAUCUGAUCAUGACUUCCAUGAUAGGAGCUGACAUGAGCCGAUGAAACUGUGACAGAGGGGUUAGUACCAACCAAGCUGACAUCGUCACCUAGUCUGGAAAUGGGGCUCAUUCUAAUUCUUUCCUAUCUGAGAAAACACUCUUAAAAGGGACCAAUUGUAAUCUCAAAAGACGGGCUUUGCCUGAGAUGUCAAUGUUACUCUGCCCUUGCCGUAUGCUAUAUUUCUCAGUCUAUCCUUAUCACUGAUUAAUCCAUUCUGUUGCAACCAGGCUUUCCCUUCGGCAUCAACAUCCAUUCCAUUUCUAUUUGCUAUUGAUCAAUGCACCGAACAGCUACCUGGGGUCCGGGCCUGACAUCCUGUAGAGUCGUUGGCAACAAUGCAGGGCUUCAUUGCUGCGGAGCGAGAAUUACCAGUUACAGAUGGUAUGAUGAUGAAGCACAAUUACGUACUUCCAUUGUAAAUAAAGUGUAUAUUUAUUUACUCAUAUGCUAUGAUCUUCACAACUACCUCAACGGAAACCCCAGCAUUUCUUUGUUAUUUUGGUGAAUUUAGGCCAUUGAGAGCAUACGAUGAUGAUUUGGGUUUUUAGUAGGGUUUAUUUUAUGAUUGUAAACAGACUUUGGCGAUGAAGACGAUAACAAUGAGUAGGGUUUGAUGUAUGGCCACGGCUGUAAUAGUAGUCAUUGAUCACCUUGGUGAUGAAUGUGAUCAUAAUAAUGAAGCUUGGUGGUAACGGCGGUGGUCUCCUUCAUGCA
Molecule: RNA transcript, 3512 nt
Organism: Vitis vinifera (wine grape)
Lineage: Eukaryota; Viridiplantae; Streptophyta; Magnoliopsida; Vitales; Vitaceae
Gene name: ankyrin repeat-containing protein NPR4
Exons: 13
Source: RefSeq, a predicted model, not a curated record